Molecule: ribosomal RNA, 431 nt
Filed under: uncultured Pelagibacterales bacterium
Lineage: Bacteria; Pseudomonadati; Pseudomonadota; Alphaproteobacteria; Candidatus Pelagibacterales
Description: bacterial SSU rRNA
Rfam family: Bacterial small subunit ribosomal RNA
Source: RNAcentral
CCUGAUGCAGCGAUGCCGCGUGAGUGAAGAAGGCCUUUGGGUUGUAAAGCUCUUUCGUCGGGGAAGAAAAUGACUAGUACCCGAAUAAGAAGGUCCGGCUAACUUCGUGCCAGCAGCCGCGGUAAUACGAAGGGACCUAGCGUAGUUCGGAAUUACUGGGCUUAAAGAGUUCGUAGGUGGUUAAAAAAGUUGGUGGUGAAAUCCCAGAGCUUAACUCUGGAACUGCCAUCAAAACUUUUUAGCUAGAGUAUGAUAGAGGAAAGCAGAAUUUCUAGUGUAGAGGUGAAAUUCGUAGAUAUUAGAAAGAAUACCAAUUGCGAAGGCAGCUUUCUGGAUCAUUACUGACACUGAGGAACGAAAGCAUGGGUAGCGAAGAGGAUUAGAUACCCUCGUAGUCCAUGCCGUAAACGAUGUGUGUUAGACGUUGGAAA